GCCAGGCGCAGUGGCACAUGCCUGUAGUCCCAGCUACAGGAGGCUGAGGCGGGAGGAUUGCUUGAGCCCAGGAGUUCUGGGCUGUAGUGAGCUAUGCUGAUCAGGUGUCCGCACUAAGUUCGGCAUCAAUAUGGUGACGUCCUGGGAGCUGGGGACGACUGGGUUGCCUAAGGAGGGGUGAACCAGCCCAUACUGGAAAUGGGGCAGGUCAAAACUCCUGUGCUGAUCAGUAGUGGGACUGUGCCUGUGAAUAGCCACUGUACUCCAGCCUGGGCGACAUAGCCAGACCCUGUCUCU
Molecule: signal recognition particle RNA, 297 nt
Filed under: Cebus imitator (Panamanian white-faced capuchin)
Lineage: Eukaryota; Metazoa; Chordata; Mammalia; Primates; Cebidae
Description: Metazoan signal recognition particle RNA (ENSCCAG00000007176.1)
Rfam family: Metazoan signal recognition particle RNA
About the family: The signal recognition particle (SRP) is a universally conserved ribonucleoprotein.
Source: RNAcentral